GUGGGGAAUAUUGCACAAUGGGCGAAAGCCUGAUGCAGCGACGCCGCGUGGGGGAUGACGGUCUUCGGAUUGUAAACCCCUUUCAGCAGGGAAGAAGCGAAAGUGACGGUACCUGCAGAAGAAGCACCGGCUAACUACGUGCCAGCAGCCGCGGUAAUACGUAGGGUGCGAGCGUUGUCCGGAAUUAUUGGGCGUAAAGAGCUUGUAGGCGGUUUGUCGCGUCUGCUGUGAAAAUCCGGGGCUCAACCCCGGACUUGCAGUGGGUACGGGCAGACUAGAGUGUGGUAGGGGAGACUGGAAUUCCUGGUGUAGCGGUGAAAUGCGCAGAUAUCAGGAGGAACACCGAUGGCGAAGGCAGGUCUCUGGGCCACUACUGACGCUGAGAAGCGAAAGCAUGGGGAGCGAACAGG
This 410-nucleotide ribosomal RNA is filed under the name uncultured bacterium. RNAcentral's name for it is "bacterial SSU rRNA". It matches the Rfam family "Bacterial small subunit ribosomal RNA", at positions 354 to 776 of the family's 1533-position model. The record is from RNAcentral.